This 500-nucleotide small RNA is filed under the name Pongo abelii (Sumatran orangutan). RNAcentral describes it as "retained intron". Lineage: Eukaryota; Metazoa; Chordata; Mammalia; Primates; Hominidae. The record is from RNAcentral.
UGAUUUUAAGAGCAUUCACUUAGGCUUCAACCUAUCAGGUGACAUCUUGGUUUUCAGACAGCCCUUGGAGCUCUAUGGCAGGGGAAGCUAGAGUGUUUGGUGACUCCUUACCGCUCUCUUGUCUUUUUUAAUUUUAGACAACUAGUAACACACUACAUUAUAUUCACAUAGAGCAACUUGACAAGGUAAGAGGAAUCUUUGACUCUUGGCUGGUUUCUUAAUGUUUGGUUCACUUUUUGUUCCUAACUAUAUCUUUUUUUUUAAUAUAGAUUUCAGAAAGCCCUUCUGAAAUCAUGGAAUCUCUUACCAAAAUGUACAGCAUUCCUAAGGAUAAGCAGAUGCUGUUAUUUACACACAUACGACUGGCCCAUGGCUUUUCUAAUCACAGGAAGCGAUUGCAGGCAGUUCAGGCCAGACUGCAUGCAAUAUCUAUAUUAGGUAAGAGAAGAAUACUUUAAUUACCAGGCCAUGUUAGGCAGUUUGGGCCUGAUUUCCUUUGA